This 253-nucleotide ribosomal RNA is filed under the name uncultured bacterium. RNAcentral's name for it is "partial 16S ribosomal RNA". It matches the Rfam family "Bacterial small subunit ribosomal RNA", at positions 524 to 776 of the family's 1533-position model. The record is from RNAcentral.
CACGUAGGAGGCGAGCGUUAUCCGGAUUCACUGGGCGUAAAGCGCGUGCAGGCGGUUCGGUAAGUUGGGCGUGAAAUCUCCCGGCUCAACUGGGAGAGGUCGUCCAAUACUACCGAACUUGAGAGCGAUAGAGGAAAAUGGAAUUCCAGGUGUAGUGGUGAAAUGCGUAGAUAUCUGGAGGAAUACCGGUGGCGAAGGCGGCAUCCUGGACCGACAUUGACGCUGAGGCGCGAAAGCUAGGGUAGCAAACGGG